Molecule: non-coding RNA, 265 nt
Organism: Pelobates cultripes (western spadefoot toad)
Lineage: Eukaryota; Metazoa; Chordata; Amphibia; Anura; Pelobatidae
Source: the annotation of a GenBank genome assembly
GUUGCUUUAUUCUUGGAUAACUUAAGGAGAGUAACCAAUAAUGAAGGGGUUAAAAUGACCUGUGGAAUUAGGCAGAGAAAGAAGUGCAGAUUUGACACCCCUCGUCCCCCUCCUCCUUUUUCUAGGACAGAGUGUGAAAGAGUGAUACAGACAGCUGAGCCACUCCUAAUUUGCUCAAAUCAAAGGCAGAAUAUAACUCCUAAAGUUAUUUGUUUUUGGUGCAAUAAACAACAUUAUUUAAGAUCUUGCAGAUAUUUUAUCCGAG